UAUGUCGUCGUUUUACAAUGCGCAUACACUUUCGUUUUUUGUGUAUUAGCUUAAGUUUUGCUUUUCUUUUCGGCGUAAUGGACAUUCAUUGGCAGUGAAAUGAACUACUACUUUAUUGUUAAGACAGUGGGCCGAGUUAACCAAUGGAUAAUGGUUGAUAUUUUGAAAAUAUAAUUCUACAUCAAAUAUGGAGUUCGACAUGGAGUCGUCCAAGUGGACUUUGCUGUGUCUCACAUGGUAUAGAAACAAUGUGCCGAAGAUGUCUCCUGCUGUAAAGCAGUAAAGUCCCUAUAGCCACCAGCGACACGUUCCAUCAUCUACAUCGAAAGUAAACUACCCAGCCAUCAUGCCGGUGGAUAGGAUGCGAAUGCGCCCAUGGCUUGAAGAACAGAUCAACAGUGGUUCAGUAAAGGGGCUCGUGUGGAUUAAUAAGCAAAAGAAGAUAUUCCAAAUCCCAUGGAUGCAUGCUGCACGCCACGGAUGGGAUCUUGAUAAAGAUGCACCAUUGUUUAUGAACUGGGCAAUCCACACAGGGAAAUACCAUCCAGGAGAUGACCAGCCUGAUCCAAAGACAUGGAAGGCCAACUUCCGUUGUGCAAUGAAUUCUCUUCCUGAUAUUGAAGAAGUGAAGGACAAGAGCAUUAAGAAAGGCAACAAUGCAUUUAAAGUGUACAGGAUGUUAUCGGCUGCUGAGCGGGCUGAGAAGAAAGAAAAGAAGAAGUUGGAGAAGAGACAAAAUAAAGCAAAAAAGCAAAACUCGGGUGACGACGGCAGCUGUAAGGACGAACCAGCUGCUGAGGAAGAAGACCAGGUGGAGCAUGAGGCUGAUAGCACAGUUACUAUAGCCAAUAUGGAUUCUCCUGACGACCAGUUGGUAAUAAACGAAAUGCCUGAUGUUUGCGCUGUGGUGGAAGUGACCACUGAGCAUGAGGGAGUUUUGGACAGCCAGCUGUCCACUGAGAGCGAGGUGCCACCAGUCACCUCAAGCUCUGUUUACCCUCGUUUGCAAGUCUCUCCAAUUUCAUCUUGCGGAGAGAGUGAUGCUGAAAGUGAAUACAGCGAUGAAGAUUCCAAGGAGGAAUGGGACAUGCGGUGCCUCUCAGAACCCCAGAUGACCUGCUCUGUACUGAGAUUCCCGUCCUGUAAGCCCCCCAGCAAGUCUACCUUUUUCAGCUCCGAGAAAACCAACUUCAAGGUGACUAGUUGCCAGGAGGAGUCCCCGAUGAUUGCCUACAACGUUCGUCCCUGGUGGAGACCCCACCUCACAGCCAGGCCUAUGCCCACUAGAGUGUACCCUGGCCCCCGGGCCAACCCUCGAUAUAGCUCCCAUGUGCGUCUCCAGACCAGUCCUUUUCAGCGUCCUGAAAACACUCCAAAUGUAACUUCUGACAUUGAUCUCCCUUUGCGCUCUCACAGAAGUACACUACUGCCUACCCAGACCAGUACAAAUAUUUGUUCCCAAAAUAUUUCUCACGUGUUUCAGCAGAGGAGUCCACCUGUGCCUCUCCAAACCAGUCCACGCUUGCGGCCCCAAACAAGUUCCCCUGUGCCCCCACAAACUAGCUCUCCAGCACACCCCUCUGUGGCAAAUCAAACCAGUUCCCCUGUGUGCCCUCAAACUAGCUCUCCAGCACACCCCUCUGUGGCAAAUCAGACCAGCCCCCACAUGCCCUCACCAGUCGCUCCCCAAGCUGGUCUUCUUUACCCAAGUGGUCCUCACAUACUCCUACAGAGUGGCUCUCAUUUGCUCCCUCAAACAAGCCACCAGGGGCUUUUUCAUAGCAGUCUUCUUGUCUCUCCCGACGUCCGUCCCAAUGUCCAUCCCCAGACCAAAUCCCAAAUUUACUUCCAUAGUAGUCCUCCUCCCCGUCUAAUUCUCCAAAAAAGCUCCAAAAGGCCUCUCAAGAUCAGGCCUGAUGUCAGUACCCACACAAGUCCUGCUGUCAUGCCCCAUAGCAGCACCCAUACUGGUGUCCAAGUCCCCAUUACUAAAAAAUCACACACCUUUCCCUUCACUCCUGCACCCACAAGACAAUCCUCUCCACCCGAAAGGACCUGUAGCACUGAUGGCCGUACAAGCGUAAUUGUCAAUGCUGUUGUGAAAUCGCAACUAUGACGUCUCAGUAAAGACCGUCUUGUUAUGACCUGAAGCAGAUGCUUUGCUGCUAAGGAAAAUCAGUGUGAACACAACUACCUUGGACGUCACCUCCUAUCUUCAUGAACAAAGACCACCAAAGACUUCACAGCAAUAUUUGUCUUUCUUUCUGUGAGAUGAGAGACGUUCUUGCAAAAUGUUUGGAGAAUGCCUUGAUGACUACUAGUGUUUUGUAAGACGAAUAGUGUAUUUUUAUAUAGAGAAUGGGAUAUUGAUGAGUUUUUUUUGUUGUUUCUUUUUUUCCCCAAAUCAGUUUACAUGUCUUUUAGCACACUAAUUUUGUAAUAUCAGACACUAUCAGAGCUGUGUUUAUUUAUUUGACUGUUUGAAUGAAUAUUUUCAAUUUUUAGGUGUGAUGGGUCCUUGUGCCACCAGAUGGCAUCCAAAGUCUAUCAUCUCUGCAUUAUGUUCACUCAAUGGGAUGUCCAAUGUGUUCCCUUUUUUUUUGAAGAGGGAGGAUACUAAGGGUUGUUUUCGGUGUAUGACAGAGGGGUCGGAAAGUAAGUCAUUGUGCAGACUACUGCGUACUGAGUUACAAUGGCUGGCUGGGAAAUGUGGUAUACCUCGCUUGUGCUCCUAGCUACUGUCACUCAUAAAGUAUCUUCAAAUUCACUAGAGAUGGAUUUGGCACCAGAUGCGGUAGACGAUGCCUACUCUGCAUGUCGAGAGCAGAUGCUGCAAAAGGUUUUGGCCAAAGACGGAAUUCUUCAGACAGAGCUUAGCAAGGACAGUGUAUUUAAGUCAGCAUGGAACGCAUCCCAGGGCUGCGAUAAAACAAUCUCUGGAGGUCAACGGGAGCAUACUCAGGCAUUGCAAAGUUUUGUUAAUUUUCGGGAUUUGCCAAAAAAAGUCAAUAAAGCUGUUAAGACCCAGGGUGGAAAUGUGGACAUCUACACCAACCAGUUCCAGUAUAAGUCCCUACAUUUCCUGCUGAUGGACGCCAUGCGCCUUCUAAACAAGACGGAGUGUCGCACUGUCUUUUCCAGCACUUUUGAUGACAUCACUGCAGUAAAAGGAGCUGAUGUGCGUUUUGGAACAUUCGUAUCAGCAGAAGGUGACCGAAGCUCUGCAGAGGAGGGCUGUUAUGAUGGUGGAACACUGUUUAACAUCACCACAUGGUCUGUGAUCAAUGUGGAAAGCAAUGUCUGUCGUUCAGAAGAAACCACCAUGUUAAUAUCCCCAGUGGAGCUGUUUAAAGUGGUGGAUGUGAAUACAAAUACAGAAUGCGAAAGGGAGAUUGUGUUGACCUCCUUAGGAUUCAAGAGUGAUCAUGAUUGUUACCUAUUCCCCAGGGUUGAUACUACUAAGUCUCCUUCAACAGCUCACACUACUUUGGCUACAAUGGACUCUUCUAUUGGAUCCUCCACCCAGUGGAUGAGCUCUCAUGGAGUUGUUUUCCUUACAACACUUCUUAGCAUGUGCUCAAUUUUUCUUUCACUGUGAUUCACUCCCUAAACACACACACACACACACACACACACACACACACACAGAAGCACUGCAGUGGGCCAUGUGCAAGAACAUUAAUUAUAGCAGUAAACUAUACUGGAUUGCAUUGUAAGAAUCAGUGUUUUCAUUUCAUUCUGCCUUCAUUUACUUUACCGUUUAGAUGUGGUGGGCUAAUGUGAUCAAAUAAAAAGGCUAUAAACGAA
Molecule: RNA transcript, 3807 nt
Organism: Sardina pilchardus (European sardine)
Lineage: Eukaryota; Metazoa; Chordata; Actinopteri; Clupeiformes; Clupeidae
Gene name: interferon regulatory factor 2-like
Exons: 13
Source: RefSeq, a predicted model, not a curated record